AAAAAAGCAAACUCUGGGUUUCCGUGUCCAACUUUGACUAUCCGUCUUAUAUGAAAUUUUUUUAUAAUUCAUAUUUUUAUUGUUGUUAGAUGAUAAAACAUGAUUAAUACUUUGUGCGUGACUUGUCUUUUAAUUUUUUUUCAAAUAAGACGGACGGCCGAACGUUGGGCACGAAAAUCAGGGUUUGUCUUUUU
This 194-nucleotide microRNA precursor is filed under the name Oryza glumipatula. RNAcentral describes it as "MIR812 microRNA precursor family". It matches the Rfam family "MIR812 microRNA precursor family". The record is from Rfam by way of RNAcentral. Lineage: Eukaryota; Viridiplantae; Streptophyta; Magnoliopsida; Poales; Poaceae.